Molecule: ribosomal RNA, 446 nt
Filed under: uncultured bacterium
Lineage: Bacteria
Description: SSU rRNA
Rfam family: Bacterial small subunit ribosomal RNA
Source: RNAcentral
AGAACGAACGCUGGCGGCAGGCCUAACACAUGCAAGUCGAGCGCACCGCAAGGUGAGCGGCAGACGGGUGAGUAACACGUGGGAACCUUCCUAUUAGUAUGGAAUAGCCCGACGAAAGUCGGAUUAAAUACCGUAUACGCCCUAAGGGGGAAAGAUUUAUCGCUAAUAGAUGGGCCCGCGUAAGAUUAGCUAGUUGGUGAGGUAAUGGCUCACCAAGGCUACGAUCUUUAGCUGGUUUGAGAGAAUGAUCAGCCACACUGGAACUGAGACACGGUCCAGACUCCUACGGGAGGCAGCAGUGGGGAAUAUUGGACAAUGGGCGCAAGCCUGAUCCAGCCAUGCCGCGUGGAGGACGAAUGCUUUCUGAGUUGUAAACUCCUUUCAGCAGGGACGAUUGUGACGGUACCUGCAGAAGAAGCACCGGCCAACUACGUGCCAGCAGCCGC